RNAcentral lists this transfer RNA (73 nucleotides) under Rhizopus microsporus. It matches the Rfam family "tRNA". Rfam says of the family: Transfer RNA (tRNA) molecules are approximately 80 nucleotides in length. Their secondary structure includes four short double-helical elements and three loops (D, anti-codon, and T loops). RNAcentral also lists the same sequence under 3 other names. The record is from Rfam by way of RNAcentral. Lineage: Eukaryota; Fungi; Mucoromycota; Mucoromycetes; Mucorales; Rhizopodaceae.
GCCUGCUUGGCUCAGUUGGCAGAGCGUUGCUCUCGUAAAGCAAAGGUCGGGUGUUCGAUUCACCCAGUAGGCA